UUAAUCAAUCACUUUAAAUGAUGGCAGGUGUGUAAUGAAUGUGAUUGGUUAAUUCUGAACACAGCAACAUCCCCAGUUAUAAGAGGGUGUGCACACUUACACAACCAGAUUAUUGUAAGGCUUUUAUUUUUCAUUUUUCCCCCUCGAAGAUUUCAGUUUUUUUUUCAAUUGAAUUGUUCACAUUAUUGGUCACAUUAUUAAACGUGGAAAAAGUUCUGACAUAAUUUAUCUUCGUCUCAUUCUUUUACAUUACAAAAACCUGGCAUUUUAACAUACUUUUUAUAUCCAUUGUACAUGCAUAACUAAAUUAUGCUUUUAAUAUUCAUAAACAUUUUUUAAAUAAACAAUCAAUACAUCCCACCAAGACCUGUAAAUGAACAGUAACAUGUACAUAUGUCGACAUGUGAGUUGAUUUGGUAAUUUGCCACAGGAAAUACGCAAAUGUAAGCACUUUUACAAUCUCACUGACCUGUUCAAAGACCCAUUUACUGUCAAAUAUUAUCAGUGACGCACACUUUAUCACACCACUCAGAACACUACUCCUAAGUCCUAAAUGGCUAAUUAUUCCAGAUUUAGUGCAUUAUAUAGGGAAUAGUGUGCUAUUUGGAACACAAAGUAUAUCAGCCAAUGGCUUUGAGGCACUGGGCAAGGUAACAAAAGAUUUGCCUGACUGAUGUUCAAAAUAUCAAACGGCGACUGAAGUAGAUGUAUUGCUAAUAAAGAUGCUGUAAAAGUGAUGUGAAAUAGAAGACACCAUGACAAGGAGGAAAUUAGGAAUAACAACAGCUAGGAUUCCACGUUACGGCACGCAGCCUAGGAAUGUAGCCUGGGACAUGUUGGGACAAGUUGGAAUGAGUGAGACCCACAGCUGCUUUAUAUCUGAAGGAAUGUGAACUUUUGGAGAGGACUUAGUCCCAGAUCAGUUGUUAAAUAUAGAGUACCUAUACAAUACCUGAAUAACUGUUUAACUGAAUAAUGUGUGAGGGCCCUAACAUGACACCAGCUUCUGGUGGACAUACAUUUGCAAAACGCAACAAUACGCACUAUAUAAAAAAAUGGUUUAAUGCAGAAUUCUGUCAACAAUCUACUUAAACAUGGAAAUCAAUUCAUUUUUGUUUCAACAUCUUCAUAAACACUUGUGAGCAGACCAUUUCUAUCGAUAACAAUAUAUCCAGUCCAAUGUACAUUGCAUUUCUAUCACAGGCCCCAGUUAAAGGAUUCACCCUUGACAUACACAGAAGAAGAUAUAUCGGGCAGACAUUUACCAAUGUCAUUCAUGGAAGUGGAGGAGGCGGGGGUGGUGGGGGCACCUUAGUGGAGGCACCAGGGAGAGGUGGAGGAGGAGGGGGGGGAGGGGGAGCAUUACCUGUUGUACCAGGUGGAGGUGGAGGAGGAGAGGGGAACCUAUUUGAAGGGCUGGUAGGAGGAGGUGGAGGAGUAGGUGGUUCAUCACCCAUUGAAAAGGGUGGAGGUGGGAAGCUGUUUGAAGUACUGGGGGGAGGUGGAGGAGGACAAACACUAUUCAUUGAGCCAGGUGGAGGAGGAGGUGGAGGAGGUGGAGCAGCCCCCAUUGAGCCAGGUGGAGGAGGAGGCGGAGGGGGAGGGAGAACAUUAGGGGAUGUAUGGUUGGGGGGAAGAGGAGGGGGGGGCGGGAGGUUGUUAGACAUGGCCAUGGAAGGUGAAGGAGGAGGAAGAUCAGAGUCCAUGGAGUCAGGUGGAGGAAGACUGGAAUCAAACAUGGAUGAAGGACGGGGUGCUGGGACAUCUUGGGUGAGGUUCGGGAAGGUGGGCACUAACGGUACAGCCACAUUAAAGCCAAGAUUUGACCUAGGUAGAAUGAGAAGAUUCAGCUGAAUUCAUAUGUAGUACAUUGAUAGCAAUGUUUCUACCCACUUCAGAAUCCCCUUCUCUUUGAAACAGUUUAAGCCAUGUGGUUCUCAUAUGUAGACAUUACUUGUAAAGUUGUAAUUAGGGCAAUGGGUAGAUUUACAUUACUUGUAACUGAGGCUUCACUAGAUUUAGAUCACUUGUAAUUGGGGCAUAAAUACAUUUACAUUUCUUGAAAUUAGGACAUUAGUAGUUUACAUUACUUUUAAUAAGGGAAUUAGUAGAUUUACAUGAAAUUAGGGGCAUUAGUAGAUUUACAUUACUUGAAAAUAGUGUGUUAAUAGGUUUCAUAAUGAAAGGAUGUUAACUGAUCCUACCACUCUAGCCAACCAGUGCGUACCUAUAGAGAUCACUUUUGACAUUGGUGAAAGUGGGUUCCCCGGGCUGCUCCACAGGGCCAUUGCUUCCUGUA
This is a long non-coding RNA of Esox lucius (northern pike), 2299 nucleotides long. The record is from Ensembl. NCBI's taxonomy places the organism in Eukaryota, Metazoa, Chordata, Actinopteri, Esociformes, Esocidae.